CGUGUAGGCGGCCCGAUAAGUCCGUUGUGAAAGUCGAGGGCUCAACCCUCGAAUGCCGGCGGAUACUGUCGGGCUAGAGUCCGGAAGAGGCGAGUGGAAUUCCUGGUGUAGCGGUGAAAUGCGCAGAUAUCAGGAGGAACACCAAUGGCGAAGGCAGCUCGCUGGGACGGAACUGACGCUGAGACGCGAAAGCGUGGGAGCAAACA
This 206-nucleotide ribosomal RNA is filed under the name uncultured bacterium. Its description in RNAcentral is "partial 16S ribosomal RNA". It matches the Rfam family "Bacterial small subunit ribosomal RNA", at positions 568 to 774 of the family's 1533-position model. The record is from RNAcentral.